RNAcentral lists this small nucleolar RNA (131 nucleotides) under Jaculus jaculus (lesser Egyptian jerboa). RNAcentral describes it as "Small nucleolar RNA SNORA33 (ENSJJAG00000009809.1)". The record is from RNAcentral. Lineage: Eukaryota; Metazoa; Chordata; Mammalia; Rodentia; Dipodidae.
CUGAAAGCCAAUAACCUGUUUAUUUUAACUUUUUUUUUCUACAGAAAUUAAGCAAACUGUCAAUAGUGAUGCUGUGUUUUGAGUCUUAAGGGCAAUUGAGGUCUUUAGGGACACUGAAAAUGUCUAUAAUA